This 7676-nucleotide long non-coding RNA is filed under the name Mytilus galloprovincialis (Mediterranean mussel). The record is from RNAcentral. Lineage: Eukaryota; Metazoa; Mollusca; Bivalvia; Mytilida; Mytilidae.
GAAGAAAAAUGGCAGCUUGCAGCUUCAAAAAUCUCACUGGAACAAUCCUUUCAAUUUACGUUUUAUUUUGUAUGUACAACUCCAUUAGUAUUUAGCCUUUUUGCACAUGGCACAAACUUCUUUUGAAUUAUAGAUUUUAUGAUAAAUGGUCAUGACAUAACUUAUAAUGUAGCCGAAGAUGAGGGCUUUAGUUUAUUAUAGGAUUAAACACAUUUUUAGCACGUUGCCCGAAGGGCCAAGUGAGCUUAUGCCAUCACUUGGCGUCCGUCGUCUGUCGUCGUAAACUAUUUCAAGAAUCUUCUCCUCAGAAACUACUAGGCCAAAUACUUCCAAACUUUAACUGAAUGUUCCUUAGGGUAUCUAGUUUAUAAAAUUGUAUCCGAAGUUUUGAUCUAUCAACAAAAUGGUCGCCAUUGCUAAAAAUAGAAAUAGGGGUCAAAUGCAGUUUUUGCUUAUCUCAAAAACGAAAGCAUUUAGAGCAAAUCUGACAUGGGGUAAAAAUGUUCUUUAGAUCAAGAUCUAUCAGCCCUGAAAUUUUCAGAUGAAUCAAACAACCCAUUGUUGGUUGCUGCCACUUAAUUUGGUAAUUUUAAGGAAUUUUGCAGUUUUGGUCAUUAUCUUGAUAUUAUUAAGAUAAAGAUAACUGUAAACAGCAAAAAUGAUCAGCAAAGUAAGAUCUACAAAUAAGUUAAUAUGACCAAAAAUUGUCAAUUGACCCCUUAAGGGGUAUUGUCUUUAAUGACAAUUUUUCACAAUUGUUCAUAUUUUGCUACUUAAAAAAUCUUCUCCUCUAGAACUACUCACAAAUCAACCAAACUUAACUGAAUGAUCGUAGGGUGUCUAAAAUAAAGUUUGUGUUUUAUUUUCAUUUCGCAAAAAACAUGGCCGUCAUGCUAAAAUAGAACACAGGGUAAAUGCAGUUUUGGCUUUAUCUCAAAAACUCCAGCAUUUAGAGCAAUAAGACAAGAAGUUAAAGUAUUUAUUAGGUCAAGGUCUACUGUCCUGAAAUUUCAGCCGAAAUUGGUAAUCUGUUUUCAGGUACAAUGUAUAAUGCCCCUGAAUUGAUGAUUUAAAGAAAUUUUGCAGUGUUGGUAUUAUCUGUUUAUUUAAUACAGAUAACUGUUAAUAGCAAUUGUAUUGUGAAUCAUCAGAUGACCUAGACUGUAUCUUGAAUCAGUGUAGGGCGAAUCAUGCCCAUUUCUUUCCAGAGGUUCCUAAGAGCUUAAAAGGUAUUUCCAGGAUAGUACAUGGCUUGUUACUCUGUUAAUUACAACAAACAUUAAUUUUAUUAAUAGUGAAUAGGCAUUGUUUACCAGGUGACAAUCAGGCUCUUGAGAGCUCUUGUUUAUAGAGGUUAUUGAUGUGUAAACCGGGGCGAUUAACUCACAAACUGAAUAAAAGUCCGAAGGAAUUUUAUGUUACGUUUGUGAGUAACAGCCCCGGUUUACACAUCAAUAACCUCUAGAAAAAAUGUGUUUAAUCCUUAUAAUUCUUCAGCCAAACAUUUCCGAUGUUUAAGAAACAUUUUUUGUUUGAUGGCUACGAUAUUUACCAUCAAAUGCACACUGGCAUGUCGGACUAAGGAGUACGCAGCCAUCUUGACUUUGUAGAAACCAUAAAUGUCCGAUAAAUGCAACAGAAUCUAAAAUGAUAUAGCACCUACCUCAAAAACUUCAUUUUAAUUAGUUAUUUUCCGAAUUUGAAGUGUACGAUAACGAAAUAAUCUUUCGUUUGAAAGUUUUCCUUUGUAUGACGUCGUAUUUUGCCAUGACGUAAUUUCGCCAAAACAUUCGUGAAAUUUCCCGUAAUUUUAUAUGAAUUUAAAUUUUAUGUACAUUUUUAAAGUUUAAAGGCAUUUUUUCUUUUAUGUUUUAUAUGCAUUAAAAUAGAAACAAGUAAACUUUUAUGUUUUUUGUUUUUCAAUCUCAAUCUGCUGAAAAUCCCAGGAUCCCUGCAUGUAUGUGUAUUGCGCAGUGAAGUUUAUGAAAGUAGUUUUGGAAGCAUGGUUUAUUAAAGUGUAAACCAAAGGAAAAAUAUGUAAUUGACCAAUCCCGUUCAAGUAUUUAUAGAUAUGCAAAUCAUAUAAGAAUUAUAAGUUUAUAAAAAUUAAACUGCACCAGAGGCAGAAGUUAGCAGAACAAAGUUACAAACUGCUUUUAAACUAUUUUAUAAUUAAUUCUAUUGAAACAACGUUUGUACAGUGUUCUCCCCAGGUCGUUCUAGCGUCGUGGCACUGUGACACCAAAUUUUUCCCCCCUGAUGCUAUAAUUCUGCAAUGCUAUAAUUAUUUUAAGGAUGCUUUUUUUUCUUGUCUCUAUCGUAAAACCAUGUCCGAAAUUUUGAACUUUCAUCUAAUUACCGCUUGUGAUCAUAAAAAUUAUAUCCCCUUUAAUUGUAAUUCCCUGAAGUUGGUCAAUAGAGUCAAUUUAGAGUGAUUAAAAAGGUGUUAAUUGCCCUUUGGGUGAUAACUGUUGGGAUGUAUACCAAUACCCCAAGCUGACACUUGUGACUUGAAUUAUACCACGUGGUCCAAUCGUAAAUUUCGACAUGCAGAAAAUGUAUACAGAAAAUCAUAAAAAAGUCAAAAUUUAUGUUUGCAUUAUGAAAAUUUCAAAGAUACAAACGAUUUAUCUCUUUAAAAAGAGGUUUGGUCAUGUCGGUCGUAUAUUUUUACUACUUCAACAAAUUACUUCCAUUCCCUUCCGGUACUACUUGUUAAUCAAGAGCGUAUAAAUGGUAUAUAAACAUUUUGAUUUUGAUCUAAAUAAGUUUGAUACUUCCUUAGAAAGUUAUCAUCAUUGGCUUUUGUUGAUGUUUCAUCCCUUUAAUGCAUUAAAAGCGUCAUGUGCAUUCCAAUCUCUUUUCAAACAUUGUUUUUUUUUCGUAAAUUUUCCUCCAACAGACAUUGAAAUAUUUGUGUAAAUUUAAGACUGGAACUGGGCCAGAUAUGACAAAAGUCCGCAUUUUUUCAAUAAUAACUACAGAUGCACAAGUUAUGGCACAGUAGACAGAAAAAAAUAUCUAAAAAGAGGAAACUACGCAUUCCAAACACAUUAAUUGACUAAUUGUUAGUUCUUCUUACUAAAUGUAUUAUUUUUGAAAAUGUAUUGUUUCAAUAUCAUUUUGACAUAAAGAAACAACCGGGACUAAUUCAUUGAGUACCAUGAAACAAUGAAUUUCAUAGACAUGACAAAGAUUUUUUUUUUAAUUCUUUAUGAUACUUUCUCUUGCCCAGUUUAUUUAAAAUUCAUUCAUUCAAUAGUUGGGUAGGUAGGGUAAUUAGAACCACACAUAUAUUUAUAUUUGGCCCAAGAGGAAAAAAAAUAAUUCUGUAACUAUAAAUAAAUAUAGAAAACAUAAAUCGAAACAACUGUUUAUCAUGCCAUGGGUAUAUACUUUAAUUGUAUAGAGUUUUUUUUUUUAACCCAAAUGUGAUGCUACCCACAAUUUCUGGGGAGAAAAUUAGUUUGUAACCUUCAUUUUGAUUGGAUAACUUCACUAAUUUUCAUGGCAAUGUACGUGCAAGCCAAACAAUAUAUGACAGAUUUUAAAUGCAUGUUUUAACGUUGUUUUCUGUCAGCUUCAUUAGAAUGGUGAUAACAAUAUUGUAUUUUUUAUGCUCUGACGGCAUCAAUUUGUGAUUUGAUGGUCGCAAAUACCUGUUUACUGUCUCCACUAACUCGUCCCCAGUAAACUUAAUUUGCAACCAUCAAAUCACCAAUUGAUGCCAUCGGAGCUUGAAAUACAAUACAUUUAUCUCCUAAUUUCAUGACAGGGUCUCCUUAGUUAAGGUAAUUUAGAUAUAAGAAAAUUAUUUUAGAGAAAUGAAAUCAAAAUAUGAAAUAUUUCAAAUAGAUAAGCAUAGAAACAGUGUUUGUUUUAAUUAUCAUAGGCAGAUCCAGGGGGAAAAGGGGGAGGGGCUGGGGGUAGGGGUGCAUCUCUGAUUAUUUUAUUGUACUGAUGGAAGGAAAUAAACAUUUGUUCAAGAAAAGAACUGUUUAUAUGUAUAUAGUGAACAUGGUGUAUAAGUGAAUGAAUAUAUAGGAAAAGGAGGGAUGAUUACAUAUUACUCAUUUUUAUAUGACAGCUAAAAGUGUUUUGCGUCGUAUAAUGCUAUCAUGUCUGUGUCAUCGUUGUCUUCUGAAGAAAAAGGUUUUUGAAUUAGGGGCAAAAAAAAGGGGAAAACUAGGUUUUUCUGGUCAAUGGACAAUUAAGACAAUUAAAAGCAUGUAGGGAGGUAAUUCAGAAACAUUUAACAUACAAUGUUAGGUAUAUUUUCGGAUUUACCUCCCUUACACUACUUGUAAAUUAUGUAUAAUAAAAGGUCAGGUUUUGGACUAAUUGCAAAAAAAGGGGCAUGGUGUUAGUUUUCAAAUUUUGUUUUCCAAAUUUUUCCAAUUCCAAAUUUUUGAAAAGUUUGAAGAAGAAAUCUUUAAUUACACAAUAUUACGCAAUAAAUUUGUAAGAUCUUGACAUUUGUUUUGUGUGAGAAACCCAUAUUAUAUCAAAAUUUUGAUCACAAUCCAAAUUCAGAGCUGUAUCAAUCUUUACUGUUGUGUCCAUCCUUGCCCCAACUGUUCAGGGUUCGACUGCGGUCGUAUAAAGCUGGGCCCUACGGAGCACCUGGUUGAGUUUAGGAAAUUGUUUAUAAGCCUUGAAAAUGAAAAGAUUAAAUUUGAAUCAUGCAAAGUCGAGUUUUGCAUUUGCGCCGAUCUUCAUUUUAUUUGCGCCAAUUUUUUCUUUCAUUUGCACCAAAUUUUUCUUUUCAUUUGCGCUGAUUUUCUACAGGUAAAUUAAAGGUGAAUAUUAUUUUUCAUUCUUCAUUAUGGACCUCUUCCUUUAGCCAGUUGUACAAAUGAUAUGAAUUGUCAAUCAUAACAUGUAUAUGACUGUUGUCCUCUGCUCACCACGGGGAGGUGAAAGUAGGAUAAAUCAAUUUAAAAUCAAGAAGUAAAAACCUAAGAUAAAAGCACUCUGUUUAUACUAAAAUGACGAAUUAAACAUUUAUUUACUACAUUAAAAUCCAUAAAAAAGAAUACAUUAGAAUCAUUAAUCUGUUCUUGCUGAGUAUUUAUGGGCAACACAUCUAAUAUAUUCCCUUCUUCUCUUUCGUCUCUUUUUGAUUUGUCGUAAUUGUCAAUAAAAAAGUCCAUCUUUUCUUUCUCUGGCUUAUGUACUGAUGCGGCCAUUUCUAGAGUUCCCAAUUUAACAUACGUACCGGCCAAAAGUGAACAACACUUAUAACCAAAUUAUACCAAUAUACAUGUACCUUCAAGGUAUAGAGCAUGUACAAGUAUUUCCUCACCUGUGUUUAAACCAUAAAUGCAAUAGACACUUUGAUUCGAUGCAUUUCCGUAAAAAAAUCUGGUUUUAGUGAACCUCAUUUGCAUUUAGGGGCGUCGUCACUUCCAUUCCAAUGUUGAGCGAGUGGCUGGAAAACUAUAAUUCUAUAUUGUGUGAAUUAUUCGGCAAAUUGAUUAUCAAAAUUGACAAUCAAGCACUGCUGUCAUUAGGGAAUUGUCAGUAAGUACCUACAGAGCAACCAUUUUUCUAGUUUAUCCUGCACAAUGACGAUCUCUAAGACGCUUGAUGAAGGUGAGUAUUUAUGGGCAACACAUCUAAUAUAUUCCCUUCUUCUCUUUCGUCUCUUUUUUGAUUUGUCGAUUGUCAAUAAAAAAGUCUCUUUCUUCUCUGGCUUAUGUACGAUGCGGCCAUUUCUAGAGUUCCAAUUUACAUACUACCGGCAAAAGUGAACAACACUUAUAACCAAAUUAUACCAAUAUACAUGUACCUUCAAGGUAUAGAGCAUAUACAAGUAUUUCCUCACCUGUGUUUAAACCAUAAAUGCAAUAGACAACUUUUGAGUUCGAUGCUUUUCCGUAAAAAAAUCUGGUUUUAGUGAACCUUUGCUUUAGGGGCGUCGUCACUCCAUUCCAAUGUGAGCGAGUGGCUUGAAACGAAAUUCUAUAGUUGUUGUGAAUUAUUCGGCAAAUUGAAUUCUCAAUAUUGACAAAUCAACACUGCUUUCAUUAGGAAUUGUCAGUAAGUACCUACAGAGCAAUCAUUAUUUCUAGUUUAUCCUGCACAAUACGAUCUCUAGACGCUUGAUGAAGGUAAAUAGUGCAGGGAUACAGGCGACCCCCUCUAUCUGGUAAAUGACGUCAUAAAGGCGUGCAUAAUUGACGAUUUUUGCCGGUGACGAAUGAACUCGAAAGUGGUCUAUUAGGAGCAGAUGUAAAAUCAGCGCAAAUGAAAGAAUGACAAUUUUAAAAAUCUGCGCAAAUGUCAUACGCCCAUGAAAAGGAUAUAUUUUGGCACAAUGAAGCCAUUUAAUUACCAAGCCACCUUGACAUUUUGUUUUCAUAUCAGUUAUAUUUGAUCAUUACCUGAUAUUUAUUGAAUACAUUUUAAUUAAAUUUUUAUUACAAAGUUGCUUCAUAUAUAUUAAUAGUUUAAGAAAAAAACAAAAAGUUUUUUUUAAAAUAAGGUUUAAUUUCUUUGUUUAACAUGUUUAAACAUAUUAAAGAAAAAUAAUCUCAAACUGAAUUCUGACUUUUUAUCCUCUGACUUUUUGUCUUUGACCUUUGUCUGUAACUUUUCGUCCUGUGACUUUCUGUCCUACAUUCUAAUUUAUAUGUUCUUUAAGCCUGAGGUUAAUCAAAAAGCCAGCCCACCCUUUUUCUGGGAAAAAUUUGGUUGAUUAUAUAGGGAAUCACUGAAGCAUGACAGGAGUGGCCCCCUCUUAGGCAGUCAUUUGGGCCCCCACAGUUUAAUUUUCAAAUUUCAAAUGGGAGGCUUGCUAGAGCAUUUUAAAUAUUUAAGAAUUAACUGAGAGUGGAUAAAUAUCGUAUUACACAAGAUUUGGUGGUGUAAUCAGUUUCUCUAAUGAUUUUUAUGCAGUAUGCGGGCAAACUUUUUCCUUUUCCUAAAAAGAUGUGUUCUAUGUGUCCUCAUCAGGCAUGGUCGCCUUUUUUCAUGAUGUCACAAUAGGAAAUUCUGAAGAAAGCAAGAAAAUUUGACGUCAUAAUCGAAUUUCCACCAAUGAACAGCUGAGAUCAGGUGUUGAUUAAACAAAAAUAAUCAACAGGUUAGGAAAUCAAUAAAUCGGCUAAAAAUUGGAGAAAAGAAUUUAUCGGGUCAAUAAAAUUCAUAUAUGGUGUCGCCAAACAGGAUAUGAAUUUAAUUGACCAGAUAAAUUCCGUAUUAGGACAAUUGCACACUGUGUAACGAAUUUAUCCUGAUUUUAUUAUAUUACAUAUUGUUGGAAGAUAAUUCUAAUUGACUUAAUAAAAAUUUGUACUGAAAUUUUUUUAGACAAUAUCGGCCAAUCAAAUUGCGAGAAAUUACUCUAAAUCAGGAUAAUAUAUUUUAUACAGUUAAAAAUGUUUUAAGCAUAUAUAUAUCUAAAAUUAUAAUUGUUUGACUGGUGAUAUUUGAUAUGAAAUCAAUUUGUGACUUAUGACAACAGAACUAAUAUCAUGAAUAUUGUACUUGUUCAUAUCAAUUACUAUUUUAUUAUAGUGUCACCAUUAUUGGUUUCAUCAGUAAUGCAGACCAAUUGUAAACCAGAUAAUAAGAUGGAUAAUGCUAGAGUGACUAUCAUAAAUAACACUACAAAACCUGGAGUGUCAUCUUUAGAUCUGCUUGUCUCUACCAUCACAGAGGAAUGUUAUACU